This 329-nucleotide ribosomal RNA is filed under the name uncultured eukaryote. Its description in RNAcentral is "partial 18S ribosomal RNA". It matches the Rfam family "Eukaryotic small subunit ribosomal RNA", at positions 1470 to 1796 of the family's 1831-position model. The record is from RNAcentral.
CCCUUAGAUGUCCUGGGCCGCACGCGCGCUACACUGAGUGUCUGAGAUACGAGUCUGCCUGGUCCGGCAAGGUCUAGGUAAUCGCUAAAAGACACAUCAUGCUUGGGAUAGAUUAUUGCAAAUAUUAAUCUUGAACGAGGAAUUCCUAGUAAGCGCAAGUCAACAGCUUGCGUUGAUUACGUCCCUGCCCUUUGUACACACCGCCCGUCGCUACUACUGAUUGGAUGUUUAAGCGAGGUUCUCGAAGUGCUAGCGACUUAGCUUCGGUGAGGUCGCAGUGUGGGAAGUGAACCUAGCUUUGGUGUCUAGAGGAAGUAAAAGUCGUAACA